Non-coding RNA from Arvicanthis niloticus (Nile rat), 1298 nucleotides. The record is from RefSeq and is a predicted model, not a curated record. Lineage: Eukaryota; Metazoa; Chordata; Mammalia; Rodentia; Muridae.
CGAAUAAGAGGGUUACGGUUACAGAAGGGGGCAUAAACAUCUUCAGGCUUUGGUUGCUGGGAACUCCUUGCUCUGUCUGUCUUUCUCCACCCCCCAAAUCCUCUGCUUUCUUUCCCAUCUCUUCCUCUCCCUGCUCCUUCUUUCCUUCUUCAGGGUGGGUUAGGCUGGAGGAAGAGGAGGGUUAACCAUCUCUUUCUCACCCCUCCCCAUACCUCCUAGGGGCCCUGCAGGCCAGAGCACAGGCACUCUGGGCAGCUGGGUGAAGCUCAUCCGGGCAGGCCUUCCCUGGGUACUGCCUUUCCCCUGAGUCCUACAGCAGGCCCAAGCUUCACUUUCAGGUUUCUGUCAGCUUCUCUAACCAGAUUUCUGUUUCCCUUCCUGGGCUGCUGGGAAUCUGGUGAGGGAGAGUCUGUGUUGUGUCCCGUGAGCCUCACAGAGAUGUUCAGUUCUUGGGAUCGCCGGGAGCGGCCCCCAGAGGAAGGAGCAGCUGCAGGGCUCCAGGGCUUCGGAGUGGACAAGACCUUCCUGUCUUCCCUCAAAGGCAUCCUGCUGGAAACUGAGCUGGCCCUGACCUUCAUCAUCUUCAUUUGCUUCACGGCCUCCAUCUCUGCCUACAUGGCUGCAGCGUUGCUUGAGUUCUUCAUCACACUGGCCUUCCUCUUCCUCUACGCCACGCAGUACCACCAGCGCUUCGAUCGGCUUAACUGGCCUUGUCUGGACUUCCUCCGGUGUCUCAGCGCCAUCAUCAUCUUCCUGGUGGUCUCCUUUGCUGCUGUGACCUCGAGGGAGGGAGCUGCCAUUGCUGCUUUUGUGAGUCCAUUCCUACAGUGCUCUCCAGCACCCAGGAUGUGUGGCUGCUAUUGGCACACUUCCUGUGCCCAAAACAAAGCCUGUGCCUGCUCAUAUAUCAUUCCCUCACUUCUGGUCCCAUUCCCCCUCCCCACUCCUCUAGUCUGAUGGCCUCUGCUGCCCCACCCCCAUCCCUUUCCACAGGUUUUUGGCAUCAUCUUGGUCUCUGUCUUUGCCUAUGAUGCAUUCAAGAUCUACCGAACUGAGUUGAUGCCCAGGACCACAGAGGGGGACCAGCAGUGAUUCCAGGGUUCCCUGGCUCCCAUGACCAGACACAAGGAACCGUGGAGCCCAUCUUUGUCAUCUUUGAAUUCACUGAACCCCAACUGCCCACCAUCUACUCCGUGUCUUCAGAGAUGUGUGCAUGAGAUGUCCCAGAGAUCUGUGGGAAGUGGUGAAGUUCUGGGGGUUGGGGCAGGUUGCUGUGCUUCCAAGUCACUCCCAAAUUA